GAUGAUAUAAAAUGCAUGCAUCAUUGGGACACGUGAAUAAACUAAUAUUAUAGCAGAUAAAGUCAAUCCUGAAUUCCCCAGAGUAAUUGUUCCGUGCCUGAUUUUCCACUGUAUGAAUCGGCUAUGAUUCUAGCAGGUAUAUGUAGACUGUUUAUUUUUUCUUUUAUCAGCAAAAUAUAUUAAGAGAGAAAGAAAUACGGAGGAUAUUAUACCCUAAUGAAACAGACUACUUCAGAACCCCAACGAGGAUGAAGCAACAAUAAAAAAGAACUUAACAAGAUUCAUAGAACCAAAACUAGAAACUAGCCACAAAAAAUGCAAAAAAAAAAAAGUAUUCAGGAAAAAGCAAUAAAAUCAUUAGAACGAAGCACUCCUUGCUUAGCUAGAUUAUCCGCAAAAGCAUUAGCCUCACGGGGGAUGCGUUUAACCAACAGAGCUGGAAGAUGACUCUGAUGAUGGAGUUGACCACUGAAAAGAGCCUCCAAGGAGCAGACUUCAAGUUAUGAAACCAAGAAACAACAUUCAUUGAAUCUGAUUCAAUGAGGAUGGAUCUAAUUGAAGAAAAGAUCUCCUGCUUACUGACACUAACUUCAAGAGUCUUUGAGAUAGCUAAAAGUUCUGCUGCAUUUGAGUCAAUGAUACCAACAAAACAGAAAAAAAACAGA
This 665-nucleotide unclassified non-coding RNA is filed under the name Hevea brasiliensis (rubber tree). Lineage: Eukaryota; Viridiplantae; Streptophyta; Magnoliopsida; Malpighiales; Euphorbiaceae. The record is from RNAcentral.